Long non-coding RNA from Haliotis rubra (blacklip abalone), 139 nucleotides. RefSeq lists it as uncharacterized. The transcript is spliced from 3 exons. NCBI's taxonomy places the organism in Eukaryota, Metazoa, Mollusca, Gastropoda, Lepetellida, Haliotidae. The record is from RefSeq and is a predicted model, not a curated record.
UGGAUCGUAUCUUUGGAUCAUAUUCUAAGGCAAACAUUUAAUACAGAUACAGCAGCGUCCCCAGGUGUGAAAUAAACCUAGGCCCACACACCUGGGUUGUCGUUUUCACCUAUACCAUAUCUCCAAUAAAUCAUCGGCC